UGUGUUUCAGUUGCUGAAGCGUAUUUAUGGAAAUGUCCUUGUGGCACCAGAAGACGGGUACAAUAUUUCACUGCUCUUUGACCUGGAGGCUCUUCCUCCCAACAAAGAGGAGAUGAUACACCAGGCAGGCAUCCUCAAGAGAAACUGCUUCGCUUCCGUCUUUGAGAAGUACUUUAAGUUCCAGGAGGAGGGUCGUGAGGGAGA
Sinocyclocheilus grahami is the source of this 204-nucleotide long non-coding RNA. RefSeq lists it as uncharacterized. The transcript is spliced from 2 exons. NCBI's taxonomy places the organism in Eukaryota, Metazoa, Chordata, Actinopteri, Cypriniformes, Cyprinidae. The record is from RefSeq and is a predicted model, not a curated record.